CACAAAAUUGGCUACCUAAGGGUUUGAUCAAGCUUCCCUCAUUGGACUAAGCUUGGAGCCCCUGUUCCUACCCUGUUUCUCGCUGGGGAAAAUGAGCUGUGAGAUGAAAAGGGAAUGCACUUCCUUUGUAGUCCUUAUUCCCCUGGCGUACUUCCAGGAUAUCCAGGCAGUAUCAUCCAGGAACAGGAAGCGCACAGAAGGGGAAGAAGCCACAGCACUUCCGGUCUGGCCAGUGCCUGCUUAGCGCGGUCCAUAGACGAAUGCUGUCAGGUUUCUAACGGGGGGGGUGUGUUCAUCUGUAGACAGUUGUCUGACCUGAAGACAAACCCCACCCUGUUUGAAAGUACAGAUUAAAAUAUUAUGAUCUGUGGUGGUAUCCGGGUGCCUUCCACGCCCAUUUGUGAACACCCCAACUCAAAAACAGAGUCCAGUAAAUACCUUUAAGGGCCCAGGAAUGAAUAUAUGCCUAGUUAAGAAAUGAGACUUGAAUAAGUAGAGCCUGAAGGAAUAGUUUUUCUUAAAUCCUAUGUUAUAAAAUGUUCCUUCUAGCUUUAAAUUAAUUAUGAGUGCACCACCGUGAGGUCCAGAGUUGAAAAAGAAGGAAUAUGAGGAUGGUGGGGGGUGGGGGGGACAGGUUGGGGGAUGAAUACCUGAUUCUUUUCAAUGCUUGUGGAAAUCUUUGAAGUAAUGAAAUUCAUACUAUAGAAUGGCCAUUAGAACAAACACCCUAUUUUACAGCUCAUAGUACAACAUCAAAUGUUAGUAAGUCUAACUAUGAUAAAUGUAAUUUUGGGUAUAUAAAUUUGCUAAAGCAGUCUAUUUUCUUGCAUUCCUCAGUUUAACUUCAUAAAAAAAUCAAAAGGAGAGAGGCUCUCUAGUCUUUAAUGCUGAAGUAUUAUCAAUCCUGAUUAGCUUAAGUUUAUGCAUUAUGACACCUACUGAAUGAAACUGAUUAUACAUCUCCUUUUAAGUUAAUCAGUCUUUACAAGUUGUCGACUGAUUCCCAAAUCUGAUAAGGAAGGAUCAAAAAGUAGGAUCAAGGAAAUUCAUCAGUUGGUAGCCAAGAAAUUUCCUUUGUAAUGUUGAGACUUGUUUUCUCCUUCCUGAAUUUUACUGAUUCUCUAAAAUAAAGGGAAAGAGUUAAAUGCUACCCUUGUUCACCAAGGGAAGUCAUCCCAACUCUAUACCUAGUGCAGAUAUUCCCUUUACAUCUAUAUAUCUUCCCUGGAAAGAAAAUACCUUUUUUUCCCUUCCUCUUUUCUCUUUUCACAUCUACUCUUUUUAAUCAGAUAAGAUAGACAAAGAAAGCAAACCACAAGCCAGUUUGGCAUCUUCUCCAUGCUGAUAGAAUACUCACAGCCACAUGCACAGUUGGAGCAAGGUUACACAGAACCCUGUCAGGUCAGCGUGGAGCAUGGCCUUGCUACUUGGAUUAGCUCCUUCAACCCUGAAAAUAACUUUCCUGGUCAUGGAACAACUGGAUGUAUCCUUUAGCUUAUGAAAUAGGAUUUGAACUUGAAAUCUCUCUUUUUUAAAAAGAACCUGAUUUUGCAGGGCAGCUACAUCAUGAAUGUAUAUAUUAAGACUUUGUAGCUGAAUUGCACACGAAAUCAGAUUGCCAACUUCUUAUCUUUCAAUUUUAGACAUCAUUUUAUCCUUAAGUUGUGAGUGAUAUAUGUAGCAUGCUGUGAAAUGUCUGUUAUAGUUCUUUAAUUCAUCAGUAUUAAUACAGAAUUAUCUUUUUGCGUUCCUUGGUACUUUUUAUUCCAUGUAAUCAGAAGCUGUGAUGUUUUGCCUUUGUCGUCCUGUGCUUUGUUACUGUAAUUUUUUUCUUUUUUACGAAGCACGUGACUUUGGACUAACGUGAGGCGGAUGACGUGAUCUUUAAGACUGCUAUAUAUCUAUCAGUCUCUUACUAUAUAAGGUUUCAAUUAGAAUAAGCUUUUAUCAAAUAGAUCAUUGAUGCAAUUUAGGAUUCACACGAUUUUCAGUGUCAAAUGGCGAUCUUACAUUUAUAGCUUCAAUUCUGAAGACAACAAACUUGAUAAACAGCCACUUUAAACUUGUUCUGGCAAAUCAGACCCUGCUGUAGAUGUAGUCUAAGUUAGUUAACCAUAUAAGCCUUUUCAACUAUUAUGCCCUCCACAUGAGUCAGCAGUUAAGAAGAGUAUAGAACCCAUGAAAGCUUUUUGUAUGUAUAACUAGGUUUUAUUUUUCUUAUGUUGCUGAUUUUACAAUUCUGACUAAAGCUGACCUCAAUGGAUCAGUUUAUGUGUAAUAUUCUAGUGCUUUAAUGCCUCUUUUUUUUUUUUUUGGAGGGAUGGGUAAUAUUAUUUGAACAGCUACAGAAGGAACUGUUGGUGAGUCAAGGCAAACACAUUUGAAAUAAAGCAACUGUGUAUUAACAUGUUAACAAUUCAUAACUGCACUUUUUAUGACAUUUUGAAAAUCUAUUUAUAGGUACAGAACAAUGGGUUUUGUUAAACUGUAUCACAUUUAUACUUGCAGAAAUUUAUUUCAUUGUUAUUAGUAGGAAUUUUAUUGGUUCAAUAAAAUUGGCAAAACUG
Molecule: long non-coding RNA, 2567 nt
Filed under: Bos taurus (domestic cattle)
Lineage: Eukaryota; Metazoa; Chordata; Mammalia; Artiodactyla; Bovidae
Description: long non-coding RNA NONBTAT006736
Source: RNAcentral